UUUAAUAUGGCAGACUAUAAGUGCAAUAGAUUUAAAUUCUAUAUAUAAAGAAAAAGAUCUUUUAUUAAAA
This 70-nucleotide transfer RNA is filed under the name Colobopsis nipponica. RNAcentral describes it as "tRNA-Leu". Lineage: Eukaryota; Metazoa; Arthropoda; Insecta; Hymenoptera; Formicidae. The record is from RNAcentral.